ACGCUUGAAGUCAGUCACGUCGGCCAGGACUCAGCCUUGCUUUUGCUUGGUGCACUUUCUGGUUUGAUGGGCCAACAUCAAUUUUGACCGUUGGAGAAAGGCUUUGGGAAUGUGGCACCUUUGGGUGUGUUAUAGCCCUUUGUUGUAUACAACGGUUGGGAUUGAGGACCGCAGCACGCCUCACGGCCGGGGUUCGCCCACGUACGUGCUUAGGAUGUUGGCAUAAUGGCUUUAAGCGACCCGUCUUGAAACACGGACCAAGGAGUC
RNAcentral lists this ribosomal RNA (267 nucleotides) under uncultured Tomentella. Its description in RNAcentral is "partial large subunit ribosomal RNA". The record is from RNAcentral. Lineage: Eukaryota; Fungi; Basidiomycota; Agaricomycetes; Thelephorales; Thelephoraceae.